ACGAGUUGACGAGUCUCAAAUAGGACGAAAUGCGCAUCCUGGAU
Molecule: non-coding RNA, 44 nt
Filed under: Trichobilharzia regenti
Lineage: Eukaryota; Metazoa; Platyhelminthes; Trematoda; Strigeidida; Schistosomatidae
Source: RNAcentral